RNAcentral lists this ribosomal RNA (530 nucleotides) under Cryptosporidium ryanae. RNAcentral's name for it is "SSU rRNA". It matches the Rfam family "Eukaryotic small subunit ribosomal RNA", at positions 153 to 706 of the family's 1831-position model. The record is from RNAcentral. Lineage: Eukaryota; Apicomplexa; Conoidasida; Eucoccidiorida; Cryptosporidiidae.
UAAUUCUAGAGCUAAUACAUGCGAAAAAACCCGACUUCUCGGAAGGGUUGUAUUUAUUAGAUAAAGAACCAAUAUUUUUGGUGACUCAUAAUAACUUUACGGAUCACAUUAUGUGACAUAUCAUUCAAGUUUCUGACCUAUCAGCUUUAGACGGUAGGGUAUUGGCCUACCGUGGCUAUGACGGGUAACGGGGAAUUAGGGUUCGAUUCCGGAGAGGGAGCCUGAGAAACGGCUACCACAUCUAAGGAAGGCAGCAGGCGCGCAAAUUACCCAAUCCUAAUACAGGGAGGUAGUGACAAGAAAUAACAAUACAGAGCCUUACGGUUUUGUAAUUGGAAUGAGUUAAGUAUAAACCCCUUAACAAGUAUCAAUUGGAGGGCAAGUCUGGUGCCAGCAGCCGCGGUAAUUCCAGCUCCAAUAGCGUAUAUUAAAGUUGUUGCAGUUAAAAAGCUCGUAGUUAAUUUUCUGUUAAUUUUUAUAUACAAUGCUACGGUAUUUAUAUAAUAUUAACAUAAUUCAUAUUACUUUUU